Molecule: ribosomal RNA, 301 nt
Filed under: uncultured bacterium
Lineage: Bacteria
Description: partial 16S ribosomal RNA
Rfam family: Bacterial small subunit ribosomal RNA
Source: RNAcentral
CAGUAGCCGCGGUAAUACGUAGGGUGCAAGCGUUAAUCGGAAUUACUGGGCGUAAAGCGUGCGCAGGCGGUUAUAUAAGACAGAUGUGAAAUCCCCGGGCUCAACCUGGGAACUGCAUUUGUGACUGUAUAGCUAGAGUACGGCAGAGGGGGAUGGAAUUCCGCGUGUAGCAGUGAAAUGCGUAGAUAUGCGGAGGAACACCGAUGGCGAAGGCAAUCCCCUGGGCCUGUACUGACGCUCAUGCACGAAAGCGUGGGGAGCAAACAGGAUUAGAUACCCGAGUAGUCCCUGUCUCUUAUAU